Long non-coding RNA from Maniola jurtina (meadow brown), 849 nucleotides. RefSeq lists it as uncharacterized. The record is from RefSeq and is a predicted model, not a curated record. Lineage: Eukaryota; Metazoa; Arthropoda; Insecta; Lepidoptera; Nymphalidae. The transcript is spliced from 2 exons.
GAGUGACCAACAAAACUAUUCUGUAACACUUCAUUAGAUAGUCCGCGAGCCACCAAUCCUGAAAGCUCCGUGAUCACGGAUUCUAAUAUUUUUAAUAAAAAAUAAAAGUUAUAGUUCAGACGAACAAGAUUUGCUUGGUCGGCGUGGAUUUGAUUGGCCGGAAAUAUUUUCCCGCCCGCUUCCAUCUUAGACUGCAUCAUCACUUACUAUCCGGUGAGAUUGCAGUCAAGGGCUAACUUGUCUGAAUAAUAAUAAAAAAUUCUAAUUGAUCCAGGCGUCUUCGAGUUAUCGGGGAACAAACCUACAUAAAAAACUAAAGAUUCCGACGAACUGAGAACCUCCCCUUUUUUAAAGUCAUGAAUAAAAAGUCCAUUAUAAUAAAUAGUUUUAUUGAUACACGGUAUUACACGACACAACAGUACCAAGCGCAAAUAAUUCAUUCAACUACAAUACUAUUUACAAUGGACCACUAGUGUAGGGUCUGCCAACAUGACACUUUCUCGUACAAGGUUUGCUAGUAAUUUAUCUUUUUCCUGACCUUAUCCUACGCUACGUGGGGUCACAUCACGUCCUCUUCUUCCACUCUCUUCUGUCAACCAUCAACGUAUCAUCCAUCCCUUUUAUACGCAUAUCCUCCGUCACGCAAUCCAUCCACCUUUUCUUUUGCGAGUAAAUCCAUACUAAUAUUAUAUGCGAAAGUGUCUAGAGCAUUUCAAAGCCCAUCGAUUUUGACGAAAUUAUGGAAGGACGACGUGAAGCUGAGGACUUCCAAAGUGAUUUCGAAGUCGUUAAUUGCUAUUUCGGCCGAGACUUGUAUAGUACUUUUCUCCCAUUUGUGAGGAAACAAUA